Molecule: non-coding RNA, 11067 nt
Organism: Rattus norvegicus (Norway rat)
Lineage: Eukaryota; Metazoa; Chordata; Mammalia; Rodentia; Muridae
Source: RefSeq, a predicted model, not a curated record
ACCAGUUUCACCAUAGUAGACAGAAAAAAACCAACCAUAGAGCCCACCUUUGGAGGCAGAGCGCAGCUUCAAGCAUGAAGACUGGAGAAGGGGAGAAGGAACAGGAGGCAGAGGAAGGAUAAACAGUUCAUAGUUUGAGAAUAUUUUAAGGCACCGAAGAUCCCCUACUCAGAGUCACACCACCAUCUGAUUUCCUGACAUGUACACCUCUAACAAAAAUGGAACAGCUCCGACCAUCUGACUUACCCAUUCACCAGCCACAAGACCCAAUCCUUCAGAGUUCGCUCUUAAAGGGAAGGAAAGAGGAAAGGCUUCAGGCUGCAGCUGGAUCCAAAGAUAAGCAUCCAGCAAGCCUCCAAGUAAGAGAGAAAGGAGACUGAGUCCUACUGCUAAAUAAAAUACACCUUUACCCCCCCGAGUGUUUUGUUCCUUAGACAAAAGACACUAAUUUCUGCUAUGCAAGCCAAGCAGGCAGGCCUUUUCCUUUCGUAGGAACUGCUAUCAGUCACCCCCAGGGCCCAGAACUCCCCCCCAGCACUGGUGCCCUUUGCUCCAUUAGCUGUUGCUGGCUUUCAUGCAUCAAGUAUGGACUUCCUGUUUCCCCUUUUUGAGCCCUGGAGACUUGGAACUGGUAUGAGGCUUUGAAAAAAAUAAAAACAAAGCCAGGAAAACACAAAAGGUAGACAGUCAUGCUGUUCAGAAUCUUAACAGCUGUAAAACGUCUCAGAUUUUCCUGUGUCUACCUCUCACAUGAAGCAGUGUUCUGAAGUGAGUCCUGUGGAACUUUGAGUCAAUGGAGCUGACAGCAGUUAAAACUAAGGCUCAGAAGAUGGCUGUGGUGGCUCCUACCUUCAAACCCAACAGUAAGAAGGUGGGGCAGGAGGAUUGCUAGCUUGCGACCUACAUGGGCUACUCUAAAAUUUUAGUAUCUCUUUCCCCAUCCUAUACAGAGGCUAAGGGUAAAGUGAUGCCUUUGUGUGCCAUUCUAUAUGCUUUAGAUCUAAUUGGGUUUUGUUGAUGAUAUUGUUUUGUUUUGUUUUGAGACAGGGUUUCUUCGAGACAGCUUUGGCUGCCCUGGAACUCACUUUGGACCAGCAUGGACUUGGAUUCACAGAGGCCUGCCUACUAAGUGCUGGGAUUUAAGUUGUCCACCACCACUACCUGGCUAGAUCUAAUUUCUGUUUCUAUAAUUUUAUCAGUGUACAUUUGUUGUUAAAAUAACAGGUUUCAUUAGGGCAUUUUGCACAGGGACAGCAGCAGCCUGAGCAUACGGACCUCGACUCCUGCGCUCCACCCACCCACUGCUCCUUCCCUCUCCUACUUUCCCAUCCUUUUUGCUUCACUGUUUUCCAUGGUCCAAAUGAGAUGAUGAUGAUGAUGAUGAUGAUGAUGAUGAUGAUGAUGAUGAUGAUUUCUCCAGAGCAAGGCUGUCCUGAAACUAUGUAAACAAGGCUAGCCUUGAACUCAGAGAUCCUCCUGCCUCUGUUUUCCAAAUGCUGAAAUUAGUGUGCCACCAGUGUAGUUUCACUUUUUUUAAAUGGCUGAAUAAAAGGCCAAUGGCGUUUAGCUUAUCCACUAAUAGAUGCGCUGUGUGUUCACUGCUGUGAAUGGUGCUGAAAGACACGGUGUACCCAGGUAUAUCUAGCAUGCACUUAGAUCCCUUCGGGUAUCUCCUGAGAGGCAAGCUUAAGUCAUAUUGUAGUUACCUUCUUAGUUGUUUGAUGCCCUGAGCCCCAUAGUGACUAAACUAAUUCACAUUCCCCAGGGGCGGAUCACACACUCUUUCCUCCCAGCAUUUAUUUGUUUGGUGGUACCAAGAAUGCACCCAGGGCCUUGUUCCAUGUGGAGUAAAUACUGCAUCAAGGAGCUUGUUUUUCUUUUCUUGAUGAUGGGAUCUCAAAGGAGUUUUGAUUUGCAUUUCUCUGGUACUUAAAGAACGGUACUAGUACUCCUUUUGAGAACUGUCCAUUGGAUUCCUUUGCUUAUUUUUUAUAGGAUUAUUUUUAAUGAUUUUACAUAUUCUGGAUAUUGAUCUCUUGUUGGAGCAUCAACAACUAGCAGAUUUUCUCCCAUUCUGUAAGCUGUUGUUUGACACGGGGUUUCUCUGUAUAGUCCUAGCUAUGCUGGAACUUGCUCUGUAGAACAGGCUGGCCUGGUAAUCCCUUCCUUUCUAUGCAGAAGCAUUUUAAUGUAACAAAACCCCACUUUCUUAAUCUUUAUUUUAUGUGCAUUAGAAUUUUUGCCUGUAUGAGGGUGUUGGAUGUCCUGGAACUGGAGUUACAGAGACCUGUGAGCUGCCAUGUGGGUGCUAGGAAUUGAACAUAGGCCCUCUGUUAGAACAAACUGUGCUGGUAAUCACAGAGCCAGUUCUCCAGCCCUCACAACCCCAAUUUGAACCAAGUGUUAAGGGUAAAGGACAGCUCUACAAAUUCACUCUCUGAAUGACAGUGCUCUGACCUUGAAACUUUCCAGUCUGGACAUAGACCCAGACACUGAAGCCCACUUGUGAUCCACAGGGGGGCAUCGUUAGGUCAGCUGCCAGCUCAGAACCCAAGACCUGAUAGUCGGCCUCUGUGGCUUCCGGUGCUCUGACCUCUGGCCUGGCUCAUGAUCCUUUUACACGGUAAUGGGAUAUGAACUGAUUGAAAAUGUCGAGGCUCCAAUCUCAUUGUUCAUGCUGCGGCAACCAUUCACUAACUCAGGCUUCUCUGCUCUGUUCUGCUGUCCUGCAUUUUGAAUUCAGAGCUUGGUGUCAGCAAGGAAAGCACCAGAGUUGUCAUGCGGCAGCCUUUGGCUGUGUUCUACCGAGAGAUGUAUCAUCUACAACCUACUCACAUCCUCCCCCAACAGCUACCAAAAUUCCCCUGGUGAGAAAUGCUAUUAUAAGAAGGGGUGGCUGCUUUGUGACUCACACUGUUUCAUUAAAAAGAUUUUUUUUCCCAAACAAAUUUUCAGUAAAGAAAUCCAAAGGUUUUCCAAAGCCACAGCAAAAUAGAACAGCUCAUGAUAGUACUUUUCAUAGGUCUGCCACUUUACUGGAGGCUCCUACACCCAAACACGGAAGGCAUGAUAUCUGCUUAUUAGCCUUGUGUUGCAUUUGGCCUUUAGAGAAGAGGUAGGAAACUGAUUGAUUAAACCCAGCUAAUACAUAAUAGAACUGGGUUUGUCAGAUAUUAAGGUAGAAAGCCCCUAGCUUGCAAGCCAGCACUCACCACAGCUCUCACAACCUCUCCAGGGCAUCUGCUACACUGGUAUAGAUGCUUCAGCCACAUCUGACCAGCAUUGGUAAACCAAUAACCGAUGGCUUGCAUGGCUGCUGGGGUGGUUGUUCUGGUGGUAUUUGGUAUUUUGGAAAGCUUCCUAUCUAUCCCAGUGUUAUAUCUUUGAGAGUGUAAAUAAAAGAAUAAGCAAUAUUUCACAAAACUAAUUUGUUAGUAUGGAAUGCCACGGGCUCCUUUAAAUUCCUGUAGACUUUCCAGUCCUUAGGGGAGAAUCAGGGUAAAAGAAUCCUAGCCAGGCCUGCUCUACAGGAAAAGGCUAGUGGGAUGGGAACAUCAAAAAUGUCUCUAAUAGCUCAGAAAUGUGAGCAAAAUGACCACAGGCUUGAGGUCUGGGGACUUUCUAGCUCUGUCCCACACUGUCUGAGUAACUCUGUUUCUCCCACAUGCUAAGAGACCUCUUUUGACCUUAAAGAAAUAGUGUAUAGCACACAGUAUGGAAGUGAGUAAUUUGGAAUAGCUAUUUGUGAAGUAUGAUUUAAUCAUAUUUAUAGAGAGAUGGGUACUAGACACAAGAAGUCUGGGGCCAUAUUAUCUCAUUUAUCAAGACCAAGACACACACACACAGGUACACAUGCAUCCACACAUGAUGACAAUUCACCAAAAGUCACUUUAUCUAACAGUCACUUUCAACAUGGACCUUUGAAAUUCUUCAUUCUGAACAAAAAGUGCUCCCAUGUAACACAUGCUUAUUAGUAACAUAUUACUGGUGUUGGUUAUCAUACAAGGCUUUAAUAAAUUACUGAAAGCAUCAUUAAAAGCAAGAAUUUUAAAAAAAACUGAUUCAAAAAGAGAGUCUGGAGAGAUGGCUCAGUGGUUAAGAGAACUUGCUGCUCUUCCAGAGGACCCAGGUUCAAUUCCCAGCACCCACUUUUAGACCGUUCACAACCUUCUAUAACUCCACUUUUUGGAGCCUAGACUUCUAUCCGACAAGGGCAACAAGCACAAACGUGGUGCACAGAUAUAUGUGUAGGCAAAACACACAUGCAUACACGUGAAGUAAAGAGAAACGUGUUAAACAGGCAAAUGGCCUGAAUAUGUAUUAUUUCUUCAAAGAUACAUGAAUGGCUAGGAAAAAACAAAAUCAUAUUUAUCAAUCACAGUGACAGAAAUGUAAAAACAUCUCACCCAUGAGGUUAGCUAUUAUCUGUCUGGUCCCCCAAGGUUGAAGGCCCCCAUUUUCUUGGGGCCUUACAGAAAGUUCCUGCUUGCAAAGGUUGGCGUUUUCCUUAUCUCUGGCAAGAGAAACUUGUGGCUCUGCAGCAACAUACCGGGACCUAUAAACUUGUCAGGGUCAGUGUUAGCCUCCAGGCUCCCUCAGUCCCUGCUCACUACCCCCUCUCCUCUCCUUCCCAUUUAACCCUGCAGAUCUUCCCCUGGAUGCUUUCUCCUUGCUUUCCCAGACAGCCUUGGCAGUUAAGAAGGAACUUUUUUGCCUUUUCACCCAUGGAACAGCUAUUUUGUUUCUUUACUGCUCCCAUUUUCAUUCACUAUUAAAAAAUAAAAUAAAAUAAAAAGUCAGAUAUGGUGACUCUGAACCUAUAACUCAAGAGGCACUCAAGAGGCGGAGGCAGGCGGAUCUCUGAAUUUAACCCAGCAGGGUCUACACAGCUCUAUCUGGAAUUCCAGAUAGAACAGCCCAGCAAUAGAGCAAGACCUGAGAGAAAGUGGGAAACGGAAGUUCUGAAACAGAGGAUCUGGAGUCAGCUCUACAUGGUAGUGUUUGUCUUCAGUGUAUGAAGCCAAGUUCAGUCACUGGCACUGAACAAACUGGGCAAGCAAUUCUAGCACUCGGGUGGAGGCAGGAGAUCAGAUGUUCAAGUUUAUCCUCAGCACACAGUAAGUUUGUCAGCUUGGACUAUAUGUUAACAACAACCCAAAACCCCAGGCUGAGUGGAAAACAGCGGAGGGGCUGUCUCCUAUUUCCACGCCAAAACAACAAGAAAUACCACCCGGCCACUUUACUCAUAGGUAUAUAUGAAAAUCGAGGGAAUAUGGCUCAGUGGGAGAGCCUAGAAACACAUCGCUAGAGACGCUAGAGAGGUGGUGGUGGUGUAAAAAAGUCUCAGAGUAUUUGUGCAUUCACAGCAGUAUUAUCCACAACAUGGAAACAAUCCAUGUGCCUGUGACAGAUGCAUGGAGAAGCAAGUACAGUCUAUUGUACUCUAAUACACAUCGUGUGGUACAUGUUCAACCCUAAAAGGGAAGAAAAUUCUGACUGGAGAUGCAACCAGAGGGAUGAAGGUGAAGGGCAUGCAUUCCACUCAGUGAAGUAGGUCACAAGGUAAAUACUUUACCCAUUACUCACAUUCAGUUCUUACUGCCCCCUCAAUUUUACACUUAAAAAUGGUGACGAUGGGAAAUUUGGUUACAUGUAUGGGGUACAGGGUACUAAAGUACCGAAUCCUAUACUUACCAGACCAAGGCUAUUUUACAGCUUGGGAUAAAGUUUACAAAGACAGGUUUAAAAAGUGGUGAAUCUUGCUUCAUAUGAAAAACACCAGAAAGAAAAGUGGCUUGAGGGACAACAAAGAUACAUAAAGUCCAAAAGUAAACAAGACACCACUGAGAAGACAGAGGGCCCCCUUAUACUGGGUCACACGAGACAUUUCUUAGUCUGUUAGAAGCACGAAGAUGACCUCCCCAGACCAGAAAUAGGGUUGGGGGAAAAUGAACAGUCACUGAAGAGUUCAGAAGAAACACCGUAGCGCAGCCUCGGUAUGUGUGCACCAUAGAACUGAUGAAGAGGGGAAACGCUAAUGCUACCAGAACACUCUUAAAAAGGAAGAAAGUGAGCUGGAGACAUGGCUCAGCGGGUAAAAGCAUUCAUUGGCUGCUCUUCCAGUGGUCCAGAGUGCAAUUCCCAGCAACCACAUGGUGGUUCAUAACUAUCUAUAAUAAGAUCUGAUGCCCUCUUCUGGCACGCAGGUGUACAUUCAGAUAGAGUACAUGUACAUUCAUAAAACAAAUACAUCAUUAAAAAUACUUUAACAAAAGAAAGCAAAGAUCCUUGAAAGAACGCUAGUCCUCUUCAUGAUAAGUACACAUGCCCAGCACCUACACUGGGUCCUGGCACCCACGCACACUCAGUCUUAGCGAAGAUAGUUUCUACGCAGGCAGGAAAGUUUCCUGUUUUGAGAUAGGGAGGAAAAUGGGGAACCUCGUAAUGUAUCCACUUCAGAGUCAUGACUCGUCCUAGAUAUCUAGGUCUCUAGCUACUGGGCUGGGCCUGUGUGUGAGAGAUCAUAACCCAGUGCCCUUCAGUGGUAAUGACUUCCAGAGAAAGCUGGGCCUCCUGAAAAAUCAGGGGGAAGACAUCCACAGAAAGGGCCAUUGCUUCCAUUUCUGUCUGUCUGUUCUGAGCCACUCGUUCACAAGACCAUGGCAGACUGGCUCAGGCCUUUAUGUAGGGAACAAAUGCUUUCCAUAUGAAAGACAAAACAAAACAAAAAAACCUAUGAAGAAUGCUCUUGCUGGGGAAAGACACUUGUAUGGAUCCUGUCUAGAAAAUACCCAGCUAGUAUCAAAAACAAUGGGUGUACCAAAACAAACAAAAACCCACUGAGUUCUUUCUGUCUCAGAAGAAAAAAACCGAAAUCCAUGACAAGCUGAGCUUCAAAUGUAAGUGUUCUAACCAUACUCUCAGGAUCUCUGUUAAACUCAGGCCCUGCGGUCUCUCCUCGGCUCUACUGAAUUCAGGGAGUAGGCUCCAGUCAGUCAUCAGCACUGUUAUGAGGCUCCAUAGAAAGUCCAGGCAGGCGAGUAAGGAUCCUCUGGAACCCUCACUGACAGGAGGCUCUUCUUUGUGUGUUUUGUUUUUGUUGUCCACGUAUGCACUGUAAAUCCUUAUCUCCCCUAACUCUGAGUUACAGAAAUAGUGAUUCUGCGACUCCCCCUUCAGCUUGCCACCCAAGACUAACAAAGACAAAGACACAGCAGGAUAAACUGCCCCAUCACUCCAGAGACCACCCUGCUGUUGAUUUAAGAUGAAACUUGGGUCCUUAUUAAUCUCCCACUUGACCAAAUAGCACAUCCGAGACAGGACACGAACCUGGUUCUUCCUUUCUCUACCUUUGGUUUUCAAGACAAAAGUUUCUUUGUGCAGCUCUGGUUGUCUGGGACCUCACUUUGUGGACCAGGCUGGCUAUGACUUCAGAGAUCUGCCUGCCUCUGCUUCCCAUGCUGCCACGCCCACCCAGUGAGAAGCCUUGUGCCUAUGAACAGAGAAGAUGAGAAGGACAGGUCUCUGAGAAGCUCCUUUUAGUACUUAAGCCUAUAAUGUUAAGAUGCUAAGAACCAUUUGACUUAGAUUGGGCCACAACACAGCUUAGGAAAAAAAAUGAAUAAAAAUCUACACUCAUCUCUUAUUCUAGAGAUGGAGGCCCGUGCUGCCUGGAGUCUGCACUCCACAACCUCAGAGGCCUGCUAUAUUCACCUAGCUUAAGGUGUAAUAUGAGCAGGACAAUGUCCCUCUUAGGGCAACACUAAUUCCCUGUGAUGUUUUUUUUCUGCCAAAUUUGAAAGUAUCAGGUUUUUAUUUGUGUGUGUGUGUGUAUGCAUGUAUGUGUGCACAUAUGUAUGUGGGCAUGUGGAGGCCAGAGGACAACUUGGGGGAGUUGGUCCUGGGGACUGGACUCAACUCAUCAAGCUUGGAGGUCGGUUCCCUUAUCUGCUGAGCCACACUGCUGGCUAUAAUUGAGUAUUUUAAAUGAGUUCAGUGCCCACUGAGCUUGGGUGGAAUAUUAUCGUGGUUGUAAAACAUGUGGUGUGUUCCUUCAAGAAUGGAGCUACUGCUCUCUUUGGUUAAGGUGGCCUGGCUUACAGCAUUCCUUGUGACAAGGCUGGAGAUGAGUUUCUGUUUAAUAUACACAUCCGUAAAGCAGCCAUGUUAGCAAUUUAGCCCCUGCUGCUUGCAAGGCCUUUCAGACCUCAGGGAAUAGUUAACUAUGACCCUUAGAAGAUCAUCUUCGCCUGAAGGAAGCAUGGAGAAGCAGUCCUUGUGGCAACAGAAAACUAAAAAUCCUACAUUAAAAACAUAGUCUAUGGGGUUGGGGAUUUAGCUCAGUGGUAGAGCGCUUGCCUAGCAAGCGCAAGGCCCUGGGUUCGGUCCCCAGCUCCGAAAAAAAAAGAAAGAAAGAAAAAAAAAAAAAACAUAGUCUAUAAUAGGCUGGAACUUUUCUGCAGAAUUGGGCAGGGAAUGGAUCUAGCUCUUUAGAGACCACAGAACGCUUUUUCUUUUUCAGAAAGCUCAAAAAGGCCUUACCUCUAGCAUACCUACAGUGGGACACAAAGACUUCCUGAGCCACUCAAAUAAGAGUUGGCAACUGUCCUUCACUAUUAAGACUAGAAAAGCUAAGCCUUUUGAAAAUCCUAGCAUAGCAGCAAACUAGAACCCAGGAGACAUGCUGCUAGCAUAUUCAGACAUUUUUCUAAGUCACUCCAUCUCAGCCCUAGUCCAUGGCUUGGUUAAAAUACAAAACAAAAUUGGAUUUUUUUUAAUAUACAUAUACACAUACAUGCCUAAGAAGCCAAACCAAACCAACACCCCCAAUAGCCAGCCACACCCCCAGUAGCCAGCCAUCUUACUAUAGAACACAGCAGUAUGAUCUAACAUGUGGAUACUUCAUGUUUUCUCCCCACAUUUGGAAACCCCGAUUCCAAGGUUAACAGGACUACUACAAAAAAGAAUGACCAGGUCUUUAGCAUCAGAAAACUAAAAGCCAGAGUCACCUCAGAACAAGCCCAGCUGAACAGAAGGAGAGGCCGCAUGUGCUUCUCAAAGGAAUUCUUCUCUAGCAGUUAUGGGAGAACUGGAUACAGGGCAGACUCCAGGCAGCGCGGGCCUCCACCUGGAGCCUAUGUUCCCAUUCGUGAAGACCUCUGUCUGUCCAGUUCUAAGGAGACAGCGAAGGCAAGAACAAUGGCCUUGUCCCUACAAGGCUGUCACAGUGUUCCACUUGGAUUCCCUUUGCCUUUUGCUUUGUGUAUACUUUCACAAAAGACCCUCAACAAUGACCCUGCAGGACUUGGAGGACAGACAUCUCCAGAUAAAGAUAUAAUAAACCUGGGAGUACAUGUCUGCUCCAGGUUAAGAGUCGGGAACUUUAUCACGAGCCCAGCCUUUCCAUUUAGUGGCUAGUUAAGUUUCCAGGGUACUAUUUCCUUAAGUUACAGACAAGAGAGGUCAGAGUGAUGAGCACAGAUGAACAUAAGCAACUCUACCUAUAACUGAAACAUUUCAGAAGGUGAAGGCACAGGAUUAAAAGUUCAAAGCCAACCUGUACUCUAUAGGUUUGAGGCCAGUUAGGGUCACAUAUUGAGACCCUGUCUCAAACAAUAAAUAAUCACAUAAACAAAGCACCAGAUAGAAAGAGCCUGUGUCCUGGCACUGCGAGGCCAGCACCCGGUCUCACCUCUGCUAUCUACAGCCGCGGUCUGGGUUCCUCGCCUCCCCUGUAAGCUGGGAGUAGAGUUACAGUAAUGAAUAAGAGGAUGGACAUAAACCAUUCGAGUUCUUUCAUCAGCAAACACUGUGUCAAGCACAGUGUAAGUAAGAGUUACAGCAGCAAUCAAGCUAGUUCUGGUCAAACGACAAGAAGAAAAAUAAGUUAGUAGAUAAAUACUUAGAAAACAUGCUAAAAAAAUGUAAGAUUACCAUAAAUGACUGAAAACAAUCACAGGAAGGCCAGAUGUGAAGAGUGCCCACUGAGGAGAAAUCUCUGUUGAGCCCUAAGGGUGAACGCCUAUCUAUGUGGAGAAAGGAGGAACAAGCAUUUCUGUGGGAACUCACUACGUAAGGGUCACAGCAUGAGGCAGGCACAGGAACACGGAAGACAAGUGCAAUUGCAGAAUAUCCUCUCCUAGGGUUUGGAGAACAACCGUUACAAGCUGCCACCACAGAGGAUUACCACAUCUAUUUUUAAAAUAACAAAGAUGAGCCUCGAGAAAAGUGCUGUGUCUUGUCCAAGGUCAAAGUUACUCAGCAGAGGACCUCAAAUUGGAGCCCUCAGUAUUCUCUUUCCUAACACAGCAAAGCCGACAGCUUUGACUUACUUCACUAAUGACAGCUUUCAGGUUGUGAGGAGUCACCAAAGCACCUUGAGAACACCAGUAAUAACACUGUAUCAGUUUCCAGGCACCUGGUCCAUCAAGCACUGAAAGCCCUAUCUUUGGAAUCUUAAUACCAGAGCAAAAACUGCUCAGACCUAACUCCAAGGUUCCACAGUGGAAACAGCCUCUCUCCUUGCAGACAUGAACAAGGGAAAAAAUGCCCCAGAAAAUUCCACGGCCUGCUCUAAGAGACGGAACACUGAUGCACACGAAUGAUCACCUCAGGUGAACAGCACAGGCAUCCCAGUCAGACUGGUACACCCACCCCAGCAAAAGCCAUUUGGGAAUUCAGAGAGGUAGUAUGAGGUGAAUUGCAAGAUGCCAGAAGCAUUCAAUAGGCUCAAAGUCUUGCAAAAAGGACAGGAUGGGCCUACAUACUAAAAAUAAGUAAAUAUAUACAGGUAUUGCCUAUAGUGUUAACAAGAGCCUGCCACACACUUUAGAGAUGCCAAAAGGAUGACUAUCUCUAACUUUUCUUGUAUUCCCAAUGCUCACUGGUGCUCUCUACCCCCAUGACUGGAUGAGAGUGUGUGUGUGGGGGGGGGGGGCGCUAAGGAACCUAACGAUAGAACAAGGAAGAAGUUUCUAUUAAGAGUCAGACUUAAGAAAUCUUACCAGAGCGCAAGGCCCUGGGUUCGGUCCCCAGCUCCGAGAAAAAAAAAAAAAAAAAAAAAAGAAA